CUCCCGCUGCUGAGUCAUCCUGCUCUGGCAGUUAUUUAAACAGAAGCCUCCAGGAGACAUAUAAUCAACACUGCACUCAGACAAUGCCCAGACCUCCAGAAAUCAUGUGUCAAGCUCGGAUUGCCUUAGACAGGUGCAUUUUGAAAACAGCUUUCAUCUUCUUUUCUGUCAUGUUGGUACACUAUGGGUUCUGACUUCUGACUCCUUUUCUCACAAGAAGUUCACCCACCUGUCACUCUUAUGGGACCUUGGCACCAGAGACCAGCAAUUCAUCUUUGAAGUUCUCUAACAGCAACAGUGGUAUUUCUGACUUGGCUUUCUUGUAUUUCUCUCACGUUGACAAAAUUGGUUGAGCAUCUACCAUGGGCUACAUGUGAGCUACAGGUGCUGUUGAUGAAACUGCUAAAGGAGCUGAAUGUGACUGACGUCUUUGGAAGGAUGAGACUUAGCGUGCCUGUACAGUUGUGUCUAAAUGCUGUCCUUACCUCCCAAAGGAAAGCUGAACUAGGGCCAUGCCUGGGACAGACAGAGCACGGCCUUCCAGCAGACAUGGCAAGGAGCAAACCAGGGUCAGCGAGUGAAGAGGAGGGCAGGCCCAUUUGAAGCAACACAGUUUAUGUUAAGUGUGAUCUAACUGCUUUCACUGAAAAUGGGUCAGACUCCAGUUGAGAAAACCAGGGGUCUCAAUGACUUCAGCAAAAUCACUCGGCAUUUCUUUCAGCACCUCCGAGGAUAUGGCCCUGUGACGACGUA
Molecule: long non-coding RNA, 753 nt
Organism: Cebus imitator (Panamanian white-faced capuchin)
Lineage: Eukaryota; Metazoa; Chordata; Mammalia; Primates; Cebidae
Exons: 3
Source: RefSeq, a predicted model, not a curated record